Molecule: long non-coding RNA, 708 nt
Filed under: Homo sapiens (human)
Lineage: Eukaryota; Metazoa; Chordata; Mammalia; Primates; Hominidae
Description: HSALNT0361987
Source: RNAcentral
CUCUCCUGCUGGUUGAGAACGCUUGCUAUCUCUGCGCUUCCUGUUGGCUGUUGUGAACAUCCUUUUUUCUUGUGGAUUUUGACAAUCCUUUGAAGUCAUGAAUAUACAAGAGCAUGAAUAAGAGAAGAAAAGAUGGAAGAUAAAAAGCAGAAGGAUGCAGAGCAUAUCAAUAGCUGGGACCUGAAUUAGCACCAUAUGGAGCAGAGUUCUCUUCCAGCUAACCAAGGGCACUUCAUCACCAAAGCAACAAGAUGUGGAGCAUGAGCAGUUCAACCUUUGAAGAUAACUCAGACUAAUUUGGCCAGCCUCUCCGUCUGAGGGUCUGAGAUCAUAAGAAGGUUUGGGAAAAGAGAAAGUUGUCAUUAAAUUGACAUCAAACAACCAGAAGACAACUUGGGAAAAAGCAGGAAUUUAUGUCCUUCAGCUUUUGCUAAGAUAUUCAUGCCAUGAUAUUUGGCCUAUAUUCCCUUCCAAUUGAGGACCUCUUCUCAUGGAGAAAAAAGUUAAGAACAAGAGAAGAAAACUGCCUUGCUCAAGUACACAUAGGAUAAAACUAAGUGACUGAGCUGGAAUACCAACAGCAGCCUAAUAACUUUAAUUCAGUGAUUUUUCCACCAAAGACUCAACAGCAACUGAUAAGUGAGUAGUACUUCUUAACUCUGGUAUGGUUUUUCUGGUGUUUAUUCCAUGCCUAGAUGUUUGCUGAUU